This 929-nucleotide long non-coding RNA is filed under the name Coturnix japonica (Japanese quail). RNAcentral describes it as "lncRNA (ENSCJPG00005001930.1)". Lineage: Eukaryota; Metazoa; Chordata; Aves; Galliformes; Phasianidae. The record is from RNAcentral.
AUCUCUAUGGGUCUCUAUGGGUCUCUAUGGGUCUCUAUGGGUCUCUAUGGGUCUCUAUGGGUCCCUAUGGGUCUCUAUGGGUCUCUAUGGGUCUCUAUGGGUCCCUAUGGGUCUCUUUGGGUCUCUAUGGGACACUAUGGGGCAGUUAUGGGUCCCUAUGGGUCUCUAUGGGUCUCUAUGGGUCCCUAAGGCUCUCUAUGGGUCCCUAUGGGUCUCUAUGGGUCCCUAUGGGGCAGCUAUGGGGCUCUAUGGGUCACUAUGGGUCUCUAUGGGGCACUAUGGGUACCUAUGGGGCAGCUUAUGGGGCACUAUGGGUCUCUAUGUGUCCCUUUGGAUGACUAUGGGUCUCUAUGGGUCACUAUGGGGCAGCUAUGGGUCUCUAUGGGUCUCUACAGGGCAGCUAUGGGGCAGCAAUGGGUCUCUAUGGGGCUCUAUUGGGCUCUAUGGGUCCCUAUGGGUCUCUGUGGGUCAAUAUGGGGCAGCUAUGGGUCUCUAUGGGGCAGAUAUGGGGCUCUAUGGGGCUCUAUUGGGCUCUGUGUGUCCCUAUGGGUCCCUAUGGGUCCCUAUGGGUCCCUAUGGGGCUCUAUGGGGCUCUAUGGGUCCCUCUGGGUCUCUACAGGGCAGCUAUGGGGCAGAUAUGGGUCUCAUUCUUUGCUAUGGGGCAGCUAUGGGACUCUAUGGGUCUCUUUGGUUGUUAUGGGGCAGCUAUGGGUCCCUAUGGGUCCCUAUGGGUCCCUAUGGGGCUCUAUGGGUCUCUAUGGGACACUAUGGGGCUCUAUGGGGUUCUAUGGGUCUCUAUGGAUCCCUAAGGGUCUCUAUGGAUCCCUAUGGGUCGCUAUGGGGCAGCUAUGGGUCUCUAUGGGUCCCUAUGGGGCAGCUAUGGAUCCCUAUGUGUCUCUGUGGGUCUCUAUGAGUCGCUAUGGGGCUGC